RNAcentral lists this ribosomal RNA (440 nucleotides) under uncultured bacterium. Its description in RNAcentral is "partial 16S ribosomal RNA". It matches the Rfam family "Bacterial small subunit ribosomal RNA", at positions 338 to 795 of the family's 1533-position model. The record is from RNAcentral.
CCUACGGGUGACAGCAGUGGGGAAUAUUGCACAAUGGGGGAAACCCUGAUGCAGCGACGCCGCGUGAGUGAAGAAGUACUUCGUUAUGUAAAGCUCUAUCAGCAGGGAAGAAAAUGACGGUACCUGUGUAAGAAGCCCCGGCUAACUACGUGCCAGCAGCCGUGGUAAUACGUAGGGGGCAAGCGUUAUCCGGAUUUACUGGGUGUAAAGGGAGCGUAGACGGCAGUGCAAGUCUGGAGGGAAAGGGGGGGGCUCAACCCCCGGACAGCGCUGGAAACUGUACGGCUGGAGUGCAGGAGAGGUAAGUGGAAUUCCUAGUGUAGCGGUGAAAUGCGUAGAUAUUAGGAGGAACACCAGUGGCGAAGGCGGCUUACUGGACUGUAACUGACGUUGAGGCUCGAAAGCGUGGGGAGCGAACAGGAUUAGAUACCCUUGUAGUC